CCUACGGGUGGCAGCAGUGAGGAAUAUUGGUCAAUGGACGAGAGUCUGAACCAGCCAAGUCGCGUGAAGGAUGAAUGCCCUAUGGUUUGUAAACUUCUUUUAUAUGGGAAUAAAGUGUUCCACGUGUGGAAUUUUGUAUGUACCAUAUGAAUAAGGAUCGGCUAACUCCGUGCCAGCAGCCGCGGUAAUACGGAGGAUGCGAGCGUUAUCCGGAUUUAUUGGGUUUAAAGGGAGCGUAGGUGGAUUGUUAAGUCAGUUGUGAAAGUUUGUGGCUCAACCGUAAAAUUGCAGUUGAAACUGGCAGUCUUGAGUGCAGGAGAGGUAGGCGGAAUUCGUGGUGUAGCGGUGAAAUGCUUAGAUAUCACGAAGAACUCCGAUUGCGAAGGCAGUUCACUGGACUGUAACUGACACUGAGGCUCGAAAGCGUGGGUAUCAAACAGGAUUAGAUACCCGAGUAGUC
This 460-nucleotide ribosomal RNA is filed under the name uncultured bacterium. RNAcentral describes it as "partial 16S ribosomal RNA". It matches the Rfam family "Bacterial small subunit ribosomal RNA", at positions 338 to 795 of the family's 1533-position model. The record is from RNAcentral.